GAGGCGAAGUGCGUAUUAGUUAGAUUCUCAUCCAUAUUUAGCUUCUCUGCUAAAAAGAUUAGACUUUGACUUUAAGGAGUGUGGUUGGCCCCACACCUCUCUCACCUUGCUCCUCCUUUUCUAAUGUGUAACUAACUAGUUUCUGCAGUGCUGGAUUCAGGCAAGCUAGGGCUGGGCAGCUGCAUGUGCCACACUCUGUAGGACCUGGAAUGAAAGGAGGACCCCCAGCUCAUUAAACGAUGGGAGAUAAGUCCCAACAGAUAACCAGGACGUUGGCUUUCACUAUUUUCACCGCAGUGCUGAGUUCCUUCAAGUGUGGAUAUGACAUUGGUGUGAUCAAUACAUCUCAACAGGCAAGUGAAACACAGAAAUUCUUUCUGGCAACUGCUGUCAGUGACAAAAAGAUAUCAUCCUGUUUUUUGGAGAAGGGGUAAAAGUUUAUGUGGGGGACACCAG
RNAcentral lists this long non-coding RNA (456 nucleotides) under Dasypus novemcinctus (nine-banded armadillo). RNAcentral's name for it is "lncRNA (ENSDNOG00000051703.1)". Lineage: Eukaryota; Metazoa; Chordata; Mammalia; Cingulata; Dasypodidae. The record is from RNAcentral.